Eriocheir sinensis (Chinese mitten crab) is the source of this 1284-nucleotide RNA transcript. RefSeq lists it as uncharacterized. The record is from RefSeq and is a predicted model, not a curated record. The transcript has 5 exons. NCBI's taxonomy places the organism in Eukaryota, Metazoa, Arthropoda, Malacostraca, Decapoda, Varunidae.
AUGAUGGGAGUAUAUAAACGGGUUCCUCUCCAUUUUUCUCAGUUGUUUAUUUUUGGAGGUGACAGAGAACGUGCUGCGACGCCUCCUCCUCCUCCUCCUCCUCCUCCUCCUCCUCGUUCUCGUUCUCAUCUACGGUUCCUCAGCCACACCUGACAUCAUGAAGUCGUUGCUGGUCCUCACUUCGGCCGCUUUGCUGAUGUCCUUCGUCAGCGGAAGACCUCAAGGCUUUGGCGGGUUCGGUGGACACGGGGGCUUCGGCAGUGGCAGCCAUGAACACGGGGGCUUUGGAGGACACGGGGGCUUCGGCGGUGGCAGCCAUGAACACGGGGGCUUUGGAGGACACGGGGGCUUCGGCGGUGGCAGCCAUGAACACGGGGGCUUCGGAGGUUUUGGUGGACACAGUGGCGAACAUGGUGGCUUUGGUGGUUUUGGUAGUCACGAACAAGGUGGCUUUGGUGGUUUUGGUAGUCACGAACACGGUGGCUUUGGCGGUUUUGGUGGGCAUAACGGUGGUUUUGGCCUCUUUAACGGUUUUGGUGGAUUCGGUGGACAAGGUUUUCCCCACGACCACGGUUUCUUCUUUGGGAGAAAAUGAUAGCGGCGGCAAGACAGCGACGGCGACCACUUUUUUGGACCUUUCGGGGGAGAUUACGGAAGAUAAGAGGCGCCUGUUCUUUCCAUAUCACGUUCCUGUGUGUGUGUGUGUUUGUCUCGCAGCACCUCCGUUUCUCUCUUCCUCGUGGACGUUGGAAAAAAAGUCUCUGAUAUGUUUGGAGAAAAGGAAAGAAAAAGUAUAUACGUCCCUGAUAUGUUCAAAAAGGUACAAAAAAAAGUCCCAGAUAUGUUUGAUGAAAAGUAUAAAACAAGUUCCUAAUAUAUUCAAAAUAGGUAGAAAAAAAAAAAAAAAGGAAAAUGUCCCUGAUGUCUUCUAAUAUAUUUCCCGGGUCAUUUGAUGUGUCUGUUUGGUUUUGUAUUUAUUGUUACCACGGAAUUAUGUUACUGGUGUUAUGUAUGUAUUGCUUAAAAGGUUCCGAUUGCUUGAUAUAUAGACAGACCUCGGUUUGCUUGUUAGUGUUGGAUACGCUAUGAAAGCCAUGUUAAGUAAGUAAGCAAUGUUGGGAGCAUCAUCCUCGUCGCAUUAAACCCUUGAGCCUGUGGUAGGAAGAGCUGAAAUCUGUCGGAAAAAAAAAAUAUAUACAAAACACACUAUCAUAAGUUGUCAAUGGGCGUUUAUUCUUCCCAUACUGAACUCGAGGUUGAAAUAAAGUGCGUUGUCAACAUCUA